AGUUUGACUGGGGCGGUCUCCUCCUAAAGAGUAACGGAGGAGCACGAAGGUUGGCUAAUCCUGGUCGGACAUCAGGAGGUUAGUGCAAUGGCAUAAGCCAGCUUGACUGCGAGCGUGACGGCGCGAGCAGGUGCGAAAGCAGGUCAUAGUGAUCCGGUGGUUCUGAAUGGAAGGGCCAUCGCUCAACGGAUAAAAGGUACUCCGGGGAUAACAGGCUGAUACCGCCCAAGAGUUCAUAUCGACGGCGGUGUUUGGCACCUCGAUGUCGGCUCAUCACAUCCUGGGGCUGAAGUAGGUCCCAAGGGUAUGGCUGUUCGCCAUUUAAAGUGGUACGCGAGCUGGGUUUAGAACGUCGUGAGACAGUUCGGUCCCUAUCUGCCGUGGGCGCUGGAGAACUGAGGGGGGCUGCUCCUAGUACGAGAGGACCGGAGUGGACGCAUCACUGGUGUUCGGGUUGUCAUGCCAAUGGCACUGCCCGGUAGCUAAAUGCGGAAGAGAUAAGUGCUGAAAGCAUCUAAGCACGAAACUUGCCCCGAGAUGAGUUCUCCCUGACUCCUUGAGAGUCCUGAAGGAACGUUGAAGACGACGACGUUGAUAGGCCGGGUGUGUAAGCGCAGCGAUGCGUUGAGCUAACCGGUACUAAUGAACCGUGAGG
Molecule: ribosomal RNA, 655 nt
Filed under: Escherichia coli
Lineage: Bacteria; Pseudomonadati; Pseudomonadota; Gammaproteobacteria; Enterobacterales; Enterobacteriaceae
Description: partial 23S ribosomal RNA
Rfam family: Bacterial large subunit ribosomal RNA
Source: RNAcentral